RNAcentral lists this transfer RNA (68 nucleotides) under Nesogobius hinsbyi. Its description in RNAcentral is "tRNA-His". It matches the Rfam family "tRNA". From Rfam's summary of the family: Transfer RNA (tRNA) molecules are approximately 80 nucleotides in length. Lineage: Eukaryota; Metazoa; Chordata; Actinopteri; Gobiiformes; Gobiidae. The record is from RNAcentral.
GCAAAUAUAGUUUAAUAAAACGCUAGACUGUGGCUCUAAAAAUGGAGGUUAAACUCCUCUUACUUGCC